This 410-nucleotide ribosomal RNA is filed under the name uncultured Methylomirabilota bacterium. Its description in RNAcentral is "bacterial SSU rRNA". It matches the Rfam family "Bacterial small subunit ribosomal RNA", at positions 1025 to 1434 of the family's 1533-position model. The record is from RNAcentral. Lineage: Bacteria; Methylomirabilota (SeqCode).
AGCGUGGAGACAGGUGGUGCAUGGCUGUCGUCAGCUCGUGUCGUGAGAUGUUGGGUUAAGUCCCGCAACGAGCGCAACCCUCACCUCUUGUUGCCAUCAGGUCAUGCUGGGCACUCUAGAGGAACUGCCCCGGUCAACGGGGAGGAAUGCGGGGAUGACGUCAAGUCAUCAUGCCCCUUACGUCCUGGGCUACACACGUGCUACAAUGGCCGGUACAAAGGGAUGCCACACCGCGAGGUAGAGUUAAACCCAAAAAGCCGGUCUAAGUUCAGAUUGGAGUCUGCAACUCGACUCCAUGAAGGAGGAAUCGCUAGUAAUCGCGUAUCAGCACGACGCGGUGAAUACGUUCCCGGGCCUUGUACACACCGCCCGUCACACCACGAAAGCCUGCUGUACUCGAAGUCGCUGAG